UGGGAAGGGGUUUCCAGGGACUCAGCCCCAA
Molecule: non-coding RNA, 31 nt
Filed under: Homo sapiens (human)
Lineage: Eukaryota; Metazoa; Chordata; Mammalia; Primates; Hominidae
Source: RNAcentral